This is a non-coding RNA of Gossypium hirsutum (cotton), 111 nucleotides long. The record is from Rfam. Lineage: Eukaryota; Viridiplantae; Streptophyta; Magnoliopsida; Malvales; Malvaceae.
AACCCAUGGUGAGGGCACCUUCGCAAAAGGUCCUUGUAUCUCUCCCAUGCAUCAUAGAGUGUUUCUAAAUUCAUAUGCACAAAAGAGGAGAUAUCAUUAAAUAAUUUGGCU